Molecule: non-coding RNA, 674 nt
Organism: Paramuricea clavata
Lineage: Eukaryota; Metazoa; Cnidaria; Anthozoa; Malacalcyonacea; Plexauridae
Source: the annotation of a GenBank genome assembly
CUGGGGAUUAUGCCCCCGACACACGUGGCCUUCGGCCAAUAGUAUCCCCCUUUAAUAAGUAAUGAUAAAUUACGGUUAAUAUUCUUAAUAUUGUGCAUUUUUUCCUUCUUUUAUUUCAAACAUAAGUAUAGUUAGAUUAAAUUUUAGAACAAAUUUGGAUGCUCAGAAUGCAGGAAAUGGCAUUCCCGUGCUUCAAAUUUCAAACAUUUUCUGGGGGAGUACACCACCAGAUCCACCCUAUUCAUGCGUGGUAUGUUGGCCACAUACGUGGCCUUCAGCCAUUGCUAUCCCCCUUUAUAAAUAUAUAAUUAUCUCACAGAAAGUUCCCUUUUCCAAAAAUGCCCACCCCCUCCCCAAGGGAAAAUCCUUAAAAAAGGCCCUGUUCAAGUAUAGUGCUUUGUAGAGAUUUCGAGCAUUGAUAAAACUUAUAAUCUCACAUGUGAGAUUAUUCAUGAUGAUCUCAUAUGUGAAAAUUAUCGCUUUUCAAUUAUCAUUUCUUCUGUAAAAGACUGUCCAUUGUAUAAUAAACAGAAAAAUACAUGGAUGCUUGGAAAUACCAGAUUUAUUUCUCGUGAUAAAUCUGGUAUUUCCGCGCACCCAUGCCAUUUAUUCUCUAUACUAGAAAAUACAUGCAUGCAGAAACCCUCGACUUACUGACGAAACAUUAUGUUUUC